UAGGGAAUCUUCGGCAAUGGACGGAAGUCUGACCGAGCAACGCCGCGUGAGUGAAGAAGGUUUUCGGAUCGUAAAGCUCUGUUGUAAGAGAAGAACGAGUGUGAGAGUGGAAAGUUCACACUGUGACGGUAUCUUACCAGAAAGGGACGGCUAACUACGUGCCAGCAGCCGCGGUAAUACGUAGGUCCCGAGCGUUGUCCGGAUUUAUUGGGCGUAAAGCGAGCGCAGGCGGUUAGAUAAGUCUGAAGUUAAAGGCUGUGGCUUAACCAUAGUAGGCUUUGGAAACUGUUUAACUUGAGUGCAAGAGGGGAGAGUGGAAUUCCAUGUGUAGCGGUGAAAUGCGUAGAUAUAUGGAGGAACACCGGUGGCGAAAGCGGCUCUCUGGCUUGUAACUGACGCUGAGGCUCGAAAGCGUGGGGAGCAAACAGGAUUAGAUACCCUGGUAGUCCACGCCCCCCUCAAAAAAGGAGGGGGGGGNGUUNNACCNUUCCCCGUAACUCACAAAUAACNCCCCGCCNNGNNNGGGGAGUACGACCGCAAGGUUG
RNAcentral lists this ribosomal RNA (545 nucleotides) under uncultured bacterium. RNAcentral describes it as "bacterial SSU rRNA". It matches the Rfam family "Bacterial small subunit ribosomal RNA", at positions 355 to 896 of the family's 1533-position model. The record is from RNAcentral.